Long non-coding RNA from Alexandromys fortis (reed vole), 1014 nucleotides. RefSeq lists it as uncharacterized. The record is from RefSeq and is a predicted model, not a curated record. NCBI's taxonomy places the organism in Eukaryota, Metazoa, Chordata, Mammalia, Rodentia, Cricetidae. The transcript has 3 exons.
UCAUUCCAUGACAAAUUUCCUAAUUCAAAGUCGUCUUUAAAAUAGCUUAAAUUUAAAAAUGGUUAAAAUUAUAACAAUAUCUUUUAUUGUGUGUGUAUAUGUGUGUGUGUGUAUGUGUAUAGCAGGCACCAGAAAACAGAGAAAUAUUUAUUAUUUUCUGGAGUUUAAAAUGGUCACAGUACAUAUUUGUGUUCAUAGACACAAAAUCUACCUUUGAUUGUUUCCAUUUAGUCAACGUAUAUGCACAGGCUUUGAGAUCAGAGGUGUCCACAGCUGAAGAACAACAGGUGAAGAGGUCUGUGCACACACAGACUCACAUCCCUAGUCCCUGAGAUCUCAGAACCCUCUUUCACACUGCUUUGGUUAUCAAUCCCAACGAAUUAGACAAGUUUCUCAGAGGACAUGACAUUUCGUUACAAGUGUACUCUGAUCACACCUGGCUUACCCUUCAGCUGAGACUCACCUUCAUGGUCAUGACCUUCUAAGUAAGACAGCUUUAGGUGUGGUCCACAGGCCUACCCUCCACCAUGAGUGCUUCUACUGGGUUCCCACAGCCCUGCUUUCUCACCCUGCCACAUACGGACUAAAGGAGUGCUUACGGUUAGAGCUGAAUUUGCAGUGUUCACCUUAAAACUUGGUUCUUAUAGCAUCUCUUCAAAUCCAAGCUGUUGCAAUCGUUUCCCUCCAAGAAGCCAAAGGUAAAAUGUUUUCCUGAACAUUCACAGAGAAUCUAUCUGCUUCAUCCUUGUCUUAGUUAUGGUUCUAUUGCUGUGAGGAGACACCAUGACCAAGGAUACUUACAAGUGAAAGCGUGUACUUGGGGGCUGGCUUACAGCUUCAGGGGGUGAGCCUAUGACCAUCAUGGCAGGGAGCUGGACUGCAGGCAGGCAGGAGCAGCACUGGAGCAGCUGAGAACUUAUAGCUUUUAUCCACACGUUGUAGGCAGAGAAGUGUGGUGGGGAGACUGGUCCUGGGGUGGUCUUUUGAAACCUCAAAGCCCACCCAGUGACACAG